UAAUACAGAGGUCCCGAGCGUUGUUCGGAUUUACUGGGCGUAAAGGGUGCGUAGGCGGUUGGGUAAGUCUGACGUGAAAUCUCCGGGCCUAACCCGGAAACUGCGUUGGAUACUAUUUGACUAGAGGAAUGGAGGGGAGACUGGAAUACUUGGUGUAGCAGUGAAAUGCGUAGAUAUCAAGUGGAACACCAGUGGCGAAGGCGAGUCUCUGGACAUUUCCUGACGCUGAGGCACGAAAGCCAGGGGAGCAAACGGG
RNAcentral lists this ribosomal RNA (256 nucleotides) under uncultured archaeon. Its description in RNAcentral is "partial 16S ribosomal RNA". It matches the Rfam family "Bacterial small subunit ribosomal RNA", at positions 521 to 776 of the family's 1533-position model. The record is from RNAcentral.